RNAcentral lists this long non-coding RNA (1602 nucleotides) under Homo sapiens (human). RNAcentral's name for it is "non-protein coding lnc-LYPD6-16:1". The stretch from base 37 to 102 matches the Rfam family "mir-1255 microRNA precursor family". The record is from RNAcentral. Lineage: Eukaryota; Metazoa; Chordata; Mammalia; Primates; Hominidae.
AUCACAUGGUAAAACUUGACUGGAUAAGGAAUUCCUUCUUAUGGAUAAGCAAAGAAAUUGGUGUUUUGAGAUGGAAUCCACUCUUGGUGAAGAUGCUGUGAACAUCGUUGAAAUGAUAACAAAGGACUGAGAAUAUUCUAGACACUUAAUUGAUAAAGCACUGGCAAGGUUUGAGAGGAUUGACUCCAACUUUGAAAGAAGUUCUACUGUGGGUAAAAUGCUAGGAAACAGCGUUGCUCUGAAACCCAAUAAGUGGCACAAAGUGACAGACCUGAGAGAGAUGUCAGUAGUACAUGACAGGUCCAUCUCCAAAAUUACUCUGUGAAGUUACCUGCAUUGAUCUCAUCCAUCAGAUACUGGGCCCUCUAUUCAGUGCUUUCUAGAAAAAAAAAUCUACAUCUCUAUUACCUUCCACACCUGGCGUUCCCAACCUGUCCAUCCCUGGCCUCAUUUGCUUGACAGACAUUACAGGAGAGCAUAGUCUAUGUUCUAUUCCAUUUUAAGUCCUCAGAAUGCAGAUGGUGCCUGGCCAACUGUGUACUUGAAUGUUGAAUGAACUAAUUGGUGGUUCGGCCCAUACAUAAACUUUGUUUUCAGGCAUCCCAGAGGCCUCUGUUGAAGGAGUUCUGUGUUUCUUUAUCUUCCCUUCUUGUUCCUCUAUCCCAGCCCAAGACUUACUGCCCCCACUGACCCUUUGGCCAACCAAACUUCUGGUUUUCUUGGCAAGACCAGUUUUGGAAAUCUCAAGUCCAAUCUAUAAUUUUUUUUAAAAACCACAUAUAAUUUAUUCCACUCUAAAAUUAAUAUCUUCCUUUUAUUAUGCUUCAUUUUUCUAUUUCAAGGCAGUCUUAUGUUGCAAACCACUUUUGGAUCAUGAUUUGUAAUGUGUAUGUGAGUUUGAGGUGUACAUGCUCACAGAAGAUGUUUCUUUUUUUCUGCAGCAACUCACAGACCAAAUCUAUUAAAUUUGGACCAGAAAGAGCAUCCUCUUACUAAAGACUCAGCCUGUAAACUGGAAAAAGAAUCACGACUAUUUUGGGGAGCAGCUGCCCUCAGAAUUCUGAUCAUCCAUCUUUAAUUUUUUUUAAUGACUAGAUUGCAGAUGACUUCAAUCUUGCCCAUAGGGAUGCUGUGUUCCAUUAACUGUCUCCAUACAUCUCUACAGAUCAAGCUUUUCUGGCUGCCCCUCUGACUUUGCUGCUCAUUAUGAAAUUGUGCCCACUUGGCUUCCCAUUGUUAAGUACUGUCUCCUGGCCCCUAAUAUGGGAUCCUGUCAUCCCCAUUGCUAUCAGGAAGCCCAGUUCUAUAAAAGUAUUUCCAAAGGCUAGUCCAGGCCAAUAGAGAAUAGCCAUCACUGUGCAUCUCAAAGAUGAGGGUGCCUCUCUCACCAAUGCAUUUCUUACUACUUUGGUAAGUGGAAUAUUUGCCAGGUUCUCUCUUGAAACAGAGUUGGCUACUGGACCUUCCAGCCUUAUCUGCUGUAUCCUCUUCAGUGUGCCUUUUCUGAGGCUUUGAGACCUUUUUCCACUGUCAGUCAUGGCAGCUCUGGCAUUUCUACUUCACUAAGCUUGGGCUGUCCAUCACUGUCUCCUAGCUUCCAAG